AACGAACGCUGGCGGCAUGCCUAACACAUGCAAGUCGAACGAGACCUUCGGUUCUAGUGGCGCACGGGUGCGUAACGCGUGGGAACCUGCCCUUAGGUUCGGAAUAACUCCCCGAAAGGGGUGCUAAUACCGGAUAAUCUCUUCGGACCAAAGAUUUAUCGCCUUUGGAUGGGCCCGCGUUGGAUUAGCUAGUUGGUAGGGUAAAAGCCUACCAAGGCGACGAUCCAUAGCUGGUCUGAGAGGAUGAUCAGCCACACUGGGACUGAGACACGGCCCAGACUCCUACGGGAGGCAGCAGUGGGGAAUAUUGGACAAUGGGCGAAAGCCUGAUCCAGCCAUGCCGCGUGAGUGAUGAAGGCCUUAGGGUUGUAAAGCUCUUUUACCCGGGAUGAUAAUGACAGUACCGGGAGAAUAAGCCCCGGCUAACUCCGUG
RNAcentral lists this ribosomal RNA (433 nucleotides) under uncultured bacterium. RNAcentral describes it as "partial 16S ribosomal RNA". It matches the Rfam family "Bacterial small subunit ribosomal RNA", at positions 29 to 507 of the family's 1533-position model. The record is from RNAcentral.